UUGCUCGCUUUGGCAGCACAUAUACUAAAAUUGAAAUGAUACAGAGAAAAUUAGCAUGGCCCCUGUUCAAGGAUGAUGUGCAAAUUUGAGAAGUGUUCUAUACAAAA
Small nuclear RNA from Carlito syrichta (Philippine tarsier), 107 nucleotides. NCBI's taxonomy places the organism in Eukaryota, Metazoa, Chordata, Mammalia, Primates, Tarsiidae. The record is from Ensembl.